AUGGGACUGAGCAGAGGUAAUCUUGAAUGUGAGGUAGUGGACAGUGUCACUAGACAGAAGAACUGGCAAGGUAGUAGCAAAGUUCAGAAUCUCAAUGUGAUGAUAAUCUGCAAUGACCAGCUGAUAGGUGUGGCCUUCUCCCAGAGUAAUGUCUCCUCUUAUGUGGUGGACCUGACGAAAGUCACCAGGACAGGAACCGAGGACCCUGUGGCUAGCCAGCCUCUGACACAACAGACCCCUAACCCUGGUGUCUCCCUCCACUGCAUCUACGAGUGGCCCUGCACGACCUGCAGCAAGCCUCAGAGGGUAAAGCACAAUUCAGAGAGCAAGCGGCACAGCCCAAGCAGUGAAGAUGACAUGGACAAGCUUGAGUCCCGGGCUGGGCUGAGAUCCAGAACGCGAAGGACUACAAUGAGAUCUUCCAGCCCAAGAACAGCAUCAGUGGAACGCCACCCCGGAGAAGUGAGCCCUUCCCAGUGCACCCAGAAGAUGACACAUCCCACAGCAAAGGAGGCCUCAAAGCCCAGCCCAGCCAUGGAUGUGCAGUUGCCGGUGCCAAAUCUCGAGGUCACAACACAACUGUCAGUUAUGACUGACGCUCCUGCACCCAAGGAUGAGCCUGCCAUCAUCCCUGCCACACGGAAUGAGCCUAUCGGCUUAAAGGCCUCAGACUUCUUGCCCACCGUGAAGGUCCCCCAGAAGGCGGAGCUGGUGGACAAGGAUGCCAUGUCACAGAUACACAAAGGCCAUGACACCAUGUAUGUGGUACUCACCAGCCGCCACAAGAACCUGGACAUGGUCCGAGCUGUGUGGACCACAGGAGAUAUCAAGACAUCAGUGAACUCUGCAGUGGACAUCAAUGACCUAUCUGUGGUGGUGGACCUCCUGAAUAUUGUCAACCAGAAAGCUUCCCCGGGGAAGCUGGACCUGUGCACCACAGUGCUGCCCCAGAUUGAGAAACUUCUGUGGAGCAAGUAUGAGAGUUAUGUCCAGACCGGGUGCACCUCCCUGAAGCUGAUCCUGCAGCAGUUCAUACCCCUCAUCACCGACAUUUUGGCAGUCCCGCCCUCUGUGAGUGUGGACAUCAACCGAGAGGAGAGGUUGCACAAGUGUCGACUCUGCUUCAAACAACUCAAGAGCAUCAGUUGCCUCGUCAAGAGCAAGCCAGCUUUGAGUGGCCGCCCCAGUAGUGUGCCUUCCGUGAGCUGCACCUACUUAUGGCCAGUUUGGACUGA
Mastomys coucha (southern multimammate mouse) is the source of this 1235-nucleotide RNA transcript. It is a transcript of the gene named katanin p80 WD40 repeat-containing subunit B1 pseudogene, with no coding region annotated. The transcript has 2 exons. The record is from RefSeq and is a predicted model, not a curated record. NCBI's taxonomy places the organism in Eukaryota, Metazoa, Chordata, Mammalia, Rodentia, Muridae.